AAUUGCGGCCGUAGGCUUGCCUAUGGCCACGUCUGGCCGAGGGUCGGCUUAUAAACUAUCACGACGCGUAAAAAGUCGUGGCUUGGAAGGUUGCCGGCGGGCGUUAAACUCUUAUUCAGUUCGAGAGAAGCCUGACAGCGACGGCUCCUUCUUAAUGUGGCUAUAUAAAGCACCAGUUGCCUUGUUAACGCGAAGCUUAUGGUAAUGUGUGUGUGUGUGCAUGUAAGUGUACAGUGCAUACAAGCCUUGCAUUAUUUUGUGUUAGUGUGUGUGUAAAAUGCUGGCUACAUUGGCCGUGGCUCAGUGUGUGUAUUUUGUAGAGUAGCACGCCUGUUUCCAGCAUUGAUGCAAGUAUUUGUAAGCCUGUGCACGAAUUGCUAUAAGCCUGAGUGUAAGGUAACGACCCAUUACAUA
RNAcentral lists this ribosomal RNA (414 nucleotides) under Didymobothrium rudolphii. RNAcentral describes it as "partial internal transcribed spacer 2". The record is from RNAcentral. Lineage: Eukaryota; Metazoa; Platyhelminthes; Cestoda; Spathebothriidea; Acrobothriidae.